GACGAACGCUGGCGGCGUGCUUAGCACAUGCAAGUCGAACGGAAAGGCCCUGCUUUUGUGGGGUACUCGAGUGGCGAACGGGUGAGUAACACGUGAGUAACCUGCCCUUGACUUUGGGAUAACUUCAGGAAACUGGGGCUAAUACCGGAUAGGAGCUCCUGCUGCAUGGUGGGGGUUGGAAAGUUUCGGCGGUUGGGGAUGGACUCGCGGCUUAUCAGCUUGUUGGUGGGGUAGUGGCUUACCAAGGCUUUGACGGGUAGCCGGCCUGAGAGGGUGACCGGCCACAUUGGGACUGAGAUACGGCCCAGACUCCUACGGGAGGCAGCAGUGGGGAAUAUUGCACAAUGGGCGGAAGCCUGAUGCAGCAACGCCGCGUGCGGGAUGACGGCCUUCGGGUUGUAAACCGCUUUCGCCUGUGACGAAGCGUGAGUGACGGUAAUGGGUAAAGAAGCACCGGCUAACUACGUG
This 468-nucleotide ribosomal RNA is filed under the name uncultured bacterium. Its description in RNAcentral is "partial 16S ribosomal RNA". It matches the Rfam family "Bacterial small subunit ribosomal RNA", at positions 28 to 507 of the family's 1533-position model. The record is from RNAcentral.